Capsicum annuum is the source of this 12740-nucleotide long non-coding RNA. RefSeq lists it as uncharacterized. Lineage: Eukaryota; Viridiplantae; Streptophyta; Magnoliopsida; Solanales; Solanaceae. The transcript has 3 exons. The record is from RefSeq and is a predicted model, not a curated record.
UUUACUACCUUUGUCCUUGAGCCACCUGACAUGAUUUCCUAUCUUCCAUUUCACCCGAAAUGAUUUUCGCAACAAGUCUAAUGUGGAGCUCUUCAAUAUUUCCGAGGAUUGCCCUGUUUUCGAAGAUAUUUUUGAAUUUUGUCAAUCAUUGGUAGGUGGAUCGAUUGGAGCCGCUGUCACGCUCAAUCGAAACGAUGCCGAUAUAGCAAUCAACGGGCACCACGCAAAAAAGGCUGCAGCAUCGGGAUUUUGCUCUGUGAAUGAUAUUGUCCUGGUAUACUUGAACUCCUGAAAAUCCACAAGGCAUAUAUUUAGCUUAUACCUGUCUCUUGUUUAAUUUGCUUAAGCUUUCAUUUUAUUUAUUGUUGUUAUUACAUGUUCUCGGUUGCAACAUGGUUGUCUUUGCAAGUAAUCCAAUGUAUAGAGGCGAACUUCAAUUAACUUUGAUAAAUCUAUAAUGAAGAAAUUCGAAAAAACGGAAUGUUAAUAUUUUAUGAUGUUACAUUUUAAUAUUCAUUUAAUAUUGGUUGUCUGCAAUGAUUAAUUUGGAUGUCUCAUUCAUUCAAUAUUGAUGGCUGCAAUCUUGGGCUGCCUCAUUCAUUCAACUUUGGUGGCUAUAAUUUUUUAAAUUUGACAGCAGCAUUGGAUGUCAUCAAUGACAUCAAUGUUGGCUGAUUUUUACCUAUAAAUAAAAGAGUUUUCAACUCAUUUUAGGAGAUAAGAACACAAGGUAGAAGUUAAGGUAAAGUUCAUAAAACAAGAUUAAGAUAGAGUUCACAAAAAAUUGUCAAAUAAGAGAAUUUAUUAGUUGAAGGGAGGUAUUCUUAUUGUGGAACUUUGAACUUAACUCUUGUCCAGAGUUGUUGAGUUGUUGUGAGAAGAUUGUUCUAUCCUGAAAAGGGAUAAGUCAAGAGGAUAACUGCAGGACCGGUGAAACAUUUGCUGCAGUAGGCUUAAAUCUCCUUAAAGAGAGCGAGAUAUCCACACCUCAGCCGAAGAAGUAGAAGAUAGUCUUUUAUAUUUUCUUCACUUGUAAUUUUUCAGUUGUAAGUUUAUUGUAAUUUCACCAUCAUUUUAUUAGGUGAAAUAAAUCUGUUAUUCUGUCUUUAUAAUCAAAAGAAAUAAUAAAAAGACAAAUUGACAGCUUAUAACAUUUUUAAGUAUUCCACUGGUUUAGUAUGUAAUGCAUAGGACAAGAACUUAGUUAUCUUGAUCAUGUUAGAAUUAUUUAUUUUAUGUGGACUUAAUAUUAAAUUUUUAUUACAUUAAAGUAAAUCGGGCUGAUGUUAUUAGUUGGUGGAUAAGGCACGGGCCGUGUAUUCAUACGGAUUCCAUAUGGGUCUGUAUCCAUUUCAUGUUAUUGGUGUGGGCUGGCAAUAAUGUAGGCCUGUAGUAGACCUAUGAGCCCAUAAUGGGGGGUGCACUAGGUUAAGACUUUUAAGCCUAUAAAUAUACGGCUAGGUCUCCUCUCCUUUGAUUCUAACUCCUGGCAGCAAGGGAAUACAUCUUGUGUUGAAGUCAGGAGAGGGACCUAGCCUUAACCUAUUCUCCCACUUAAACAACGUUAACUUUUCAAAGAAAAGUUUUGGAAAACUUAUUUUUAUAAAAAAGACUCUCGGGCUGAAUAGAGAGUGACCAUAAAUAUUUAGUGGUGGAGUUCUAUCUCCAACAUAGUUCAGUCAAGCAAAACAUCACUGUUGAACUGCAACAGUACUUGCAUCAAUCAACGACACAAGACCAGUCCACAAUUAUAAACAUUGAAGUUUUGUAGACAUAAACCAAAUGAUGUGGUAGUGUAGCAAGAAAUAGCCAACAUGGACUCCAAAUCGAGGCUAUUUCAUUGUUAGUCCUUCAGACAAUUUUUCAUAUCAAUAUGUACGCUUAAAAUCAACAUGCGUAGCAUAGAAAAAUCAUCACCACAAUUUUCUAUUACAACAUGUGUGAGCACUAAAACAACAUGUGCUCCACCAGAAAAUCUUGAUUUUCAAGGUUCAACAUGUGCAACAUAUUACAUGUUGCAACAACCAGAAAAUCCAUAAGGUAGAAUGAUGUACCAUAUAUGUCUCCAAAAGAAAGAUCCAAUAAAACAACAAUAUGAUCUUAUCAAUAUGAGACAUAGCCAACACGUAAGGCAAAAGCCUUGAUUUAAUAAAAUAAUUUUAAAGUGUGCACAAUAAUAAUCAACAACAUAAAGAGUGAGAUGAGCGUACUCCCACUGAUCUUAAGAUAGAUGCAAUGAUCAAUCUUGUAAUUUUUCAGUUGUAAGUUUAUUGUAAUUUUACCAUCAUUUUAUUAGAUGAAAUAAAUCUGUUUAUUCUGUCUCUAUAAUAAAAAAUAAUAAUAAAAAGACAAAUUGACAACUUACAACAUUUUAAAGUAUUCCACUGAUUUAGUAUGUGAUGCAUAGGACAAGAACUUAGUUAUCUUGAUCACUCAUAUAGUAUGUAUUGCAUAUGUUCCGACUGAAUAUCGUUGCAUACAAUUGUAAUUAAGUUGUAGCUUUCCAACAUCUUUUUCCUUUAAUUGAAUCUUUUGUCUGAUUAGAGCUUGUUUUGAUACAAUUGUAGUUAAGCUAUAGCUUUGCAGCAUCUUUUCCUUUUACUGACUCGUCUGAUUAGAGCUUGUUCUGAGUUGCUCGUCCUGUGAAAUAUUUUCUGCAGCAUGUAUUUAUUGAGGUUGAUACAAGUAGUUAAGAAGGGUAAAAUUGUUCUUUCACUAGUUAGUUAGUAUAUUAAGUCAAGAUAAUUAAUAACUGACUUAUAAUCAGUUUAUAGUAUAUAUAAACACUGCAGUAUACAGUUUUGUAUUAGAUUUUCUGAUCAAAUAUUCAUUUAAAUGAAAUAUUCUCUUUCUCUCUGUAUUCUUCCUCCUUAUCUUUUAUAAUUCUCUCAAGACUUAACAUGGUAUCAGAGCCAUAGAGCACUUCUUGUAGCUCUGCAAACUCUGAUUCUAUUUUUUUCUUUUCCCUGCAUAACUUCCACGAUCAAGAAAUCUAUUUUCUUAUUUCUCUAAUAGUUUAUUGCAAUCCAAAGAAUGGGUGAUAAUGGUGUCUCGGGUUCAGGGACAACAACUGAUGGAACAUAUUUCACUUUUGAUGAUAAUCUUGGAAUGAGAAUCAUGCUCGAACCCACUCAUCCUCUAUACUUAGCUCCAGGAGACACAAGUGGUAUUUCUCUGAUUUCCUUUCAAUUGCUUGGUACUGAUAACUACUCAUUAUGGAGUAUAUCUAUGAGAAUUGCUCUACUUGGUAGGAAUAAAUGGGGAAUGGUAGAUGGUUCUUGGAGAAAGGAUCGAUUUCCAAAUAAAUUUGGGGGGCAAUGGGAACGUUGUAAUGCCAUUGUCCUUUCUUGGCUAAUGAACUCUGUUUCUCAAAGUCUGGUGAGUGGGAUUGCUUAUGCUACUAAUGCGUUUGAUGUAUGGACAGACUUAAAGGAGAGGCUUGAUAAAAUUAAUGGCUCUAGGGCAUUUAAUAUACGUAGAGAAAUUUCUACUACUAGUAAAGGAACUUCUUCAAUCUCUUCUUACUACUCUAAAUUGAAAGAAUUGUGGAAUGAAUCUGAAACCAUUAUUCCAUUACCUAGUUGCAACUGUGAGAAAUCAAAGAAAUUUCUGGUUCAUCUUUAGAGGCAAAAAUUAUAUCAGUUUCUAAUGGGGUUAAAUGACUCUUAUCUUCAGGCAAGAAGUCAGAUCUUGAUCACGACUCCAUUUUCUAGUGUGAAUCACGCUUACUCUAUGUUGAUGAGUGAUGAAAGCCAAAAGAAAAUGUCAGCCUCUACCAGUGUUCUUGGGGCUUCUCCAAUCUCUUAUGGAGGACAUUCUGAAUCUAUUGUUAUGUACAGUUCUAAACCAGGCAUUCCUAAAAAAUUCAAAAAGAUGAAUAGCUUGAUCUGUGAUUACUGCAAGCUCAAGAAUCAUACAAAGAAAAACUAUUACAAGCUUGUUUGUUAUCCCUCUAACAAAUUUAAAAUGAAAGGGGUAGGCUCCGGAUCAAAGGCAUAUAAUGUCAUAACUAAUAGUCAGGUUUCAGAACACCAAGGAUCAGGUCAAUCAGUGCUACAAGCUCCAGUUGAAUCCCAAAUUAUUCUACCAAUGUUGUGUAGACCUCUGGUUUAAGUGGACAUGUUACUCAACCUUGUAUCUUUACUAAGGACCAAUAUGAUCAAAUAAUUCAGAUGUUGAAUGGUGCACAAGUUACUUCCAUGGCUAAUUCAGUAGGUAAUACAAGUAUUGGCAUUGCUUUUACAACUGUUAGUAAGAUCAAUAAUUGGAUCAUUGACAUGGGAGCAACUAAUCAUAUAGUUGUUGAUCCUCCUUUACUACAUUCCUCUUUAAAAAUGGAUCCCUCUAAACUAAGGGAGGUUUUUUACCGACUGAAGACUCAGCUUUUGUAACAUAUAUUAGAUCCAGUAUUCUUACUAAAGUUAAAAGAUUAACAAUGGUCUGUAUAUUCCAAAAUUUAAGUUUAGUCUACUAUCCGUGUCUGAGAUUACUAAAGCACUACAAUGUUUAGUUGCAUUUUAUCCUGACUUCUGUGUGUUUUAGGAUCUCUUCAAUGGGAAGGUGAAAGAGAUUGGUAGAUUAAAGGAUGACUUGUACUUAUUACCUGCUAUUUCUACAAGGUCACUACAGGCUACAGAUUCUUUCUAUUCAUUUUUGUCUGAACAUACUAUGUGUCUAAUAAAAAAUACUGAUAUCGAUUUGUGGCAUAGAAUAUUAGGACAUCCAUCAUCUAGAGUUUUGAAUAGACUAUUCUCAAGUGCUUUAGAUUAUUGUACUUCUAUAAUCAAGAAUUGUAUGAUUUGUCCAUGUUCAAAACAAGUAAGGAUGCUAUUUGCUCACAGUGAAACAAAAAGUACUGGUUGCUUUAAUCUUUUGCAUCUUGAUAACAGGGGUUCAUAUAAAGAAGCAACUUAUGAUGGUAAUAAGUAUUUUUUAACUGUGGUUGAUGACUAUACUAGGAUGACAUGGUUUUUUCUGUUAAAACUUAAAUCUGAUGCUUGUGAAGUGAUAAAAUAAUUUCUUAUCUUUGUGCAUACAAAGUUUAACAAAAAGGUGAAAUGUGUUAGGACUGAUAAUGGGACUGAGUUUGUCAAUUCAGAUUGUAAUGUACUGUUUAAUUUGCUUGGAAUAUUCCAUCAAACUUCAUGUUCUUAUACUCCUCAGCAAAAUAGAGUUGCUGAAAGAAAGCAUAAGCAUAUUUUAGAAGUUUGUAGAGCUAUCAAGUUCCAAGGACAUAUUCCCCUCAGAUUUUGGGGGAUUGCAUAUUGUCUUGUAAUAGUCCAUAAGUUUUUUCGAGUCGUUAAAGCCUUUCUGAGCUUGUCAAUAAAACCUUAGCACUUACAAAUUUGGCUAAGUGUUGAAACUUUCUUCAUUCCAUAAGCUUGUGAACUUUGAUGAAUUAUUUCGUGACCUUCUCGACCUCUAAUUUUUUAUUUUCAAGUUGCGUUACGAUGGGGCAAGGUCAUAGUACAUCCGGGUGAGUUUCAAAAUUUUUCGAAAUGCCUGAGACAAUGUUUGGAUUUCAUAACCAGUAGCUCGAGGCGAUAGGCCUGCAUCGCCCGAUGGAUCGCGGGCUAUUAGCUAGGUGUCGCCCGCUGGAUCGUGGGCGAUAAGCUAGGUGAUGCCCACUGGAUUGCGGGAUAUAGACCAGGCGACGCCUGGAAAAUCCAGUGCUUCUAAUUACUUUUUCAAUCUUCUCCGUGUCUUUACUUUUUAAUUGGAUAGGUGGAGAUAACAUUCGUCUGUUCUCUCCAGAAACAGAGAAACCAUCGCACAACACUCCAAAAAAACUUAAGAUCUACCAAAAUUCAUCCGUUAAAUUUCAAAAAUAAUUUAAGAAUUAUAAUCCUCAAGUCGAGAUCUUCAAGGAGCAUAUAUUAGUUUUGCGAAUAGAGUUUCGAAAUCAAGAAUUCAUCCGGAUUCACAAAUUUGAGGUAUGCAAGUGUUGAUUCUUGGGUUCCUUUCACCCAAGAAGCUCAAGAAUCCUUUUUCUUAAACUCAAAGAUUUUGUUUAUGAGUUUUUAUGAUUCAUGUGGUUUAAAGUUGAAGCUCUUGAUUUUGUUGAAAUUAAAGUUAUGUGUUGAUGAUAAAGGCUCAAGUUUAGACCUUAGUAUGUGUUGAUCUUAUUGUGUUCAUGAUAAAGCCUUUUCAAGAACAUGUUGAAUUAUGUAAUUAUGUUAAUUAGUAUGAUGUUGUUAUAUACUAAUUGACGUUGGAAAUAAUCACAUUUUCCAUGUAUGUUGAAUCAUGAUCAUAUCAUGUUAAAAUCUUUGUGUGAUGAAUUGGUUGAUGGAGUUAUGACAUUUAGAAGUAGCAUUUAUUGAAUAACUAAAGCAUGCUUCCUACAUGUUUGAUAAAAUGCUUAUAUGAAGAAAAUAUUACUAUUGUAGUAUGUUAAGUAUGGAUGUCAUGUCGAGUUCUUGAACCAUAUGAUUGGUGUAUAAUCUAUGACUUGAUUUAAGUGUAUUCAUAAUUAUCACUUUGAUUGGGUUUCUAAUACAUGAUUUAAGUACAUGAUUUAGGUGAGAUAAAUAAUUAUGAGUGUAGUACUAUAUGAAUUCAUGUUAGAGCCUUAGGUGGUGAUAUUUAUGUGUUAAUUAACAAUAUGUGCAAUUACUAUGCCUUUCAAGUAAGUGGUAAAUUAUUCAUGUGGAUUAAAUAAGAGAAAUUAUAUCAUGUAAACAAGAAUACUAAUUCAUGACAUUCAAGUGUUUGAUAGAAUGGUUAUAUGAAGGAAAUAGAGUUGUUUUAGUAUGAGAAGGAGAAAUCCUCAGUAUGUAUAAGUUCAUGCAUCCUAAGUGUUUGGUAAAAUGCCUAAGAGAAUAAAUAUUAUGAAUUAUAGCUUAAUUGUGACCCAAGUGGUAAAUAUAUGUUUUCAUUUAUGACUAAGAAUAACUUUCAUGGUAUUAUGUGAAUUAUGAAUGCUUCAUGAGAUGAGAUUGAUGAAGGUAUGACAUGUUUAUAUUCCUUUUCAUUCAUGAAUAAGAUUAUGAUAUUUUAUUUUCAUUUUGAAAAAUUUGAAACUCAUAUGCUUCGCGAAGUAUCCCCAACGGUUGUAGUAUAAAUUAUUGAUGUUGGUUAUGUAUUCAAGAAGUAAUAUGUCUUGUUAGUUUCCUUCUAUUGAGUCCUGGGGGUACUUGUACCCGAAAAAUAUAGCUGGGUGCCUAGAGCCGAGUCAGUUUCAAGAUAAUCUCAGUCGUGCUAUGAUUAAUAGAAUUCAGUCAAUGACUGAACAGUAAGAAAACUCAGUAAUCUCAGUAUUCAGUCUAAUCAAGCUUAGUACUCAGUUCAGAUCUCAGUAGUAUUCAGUAUAAAGUCAAGACUUCAGUAUAGCUUAGUAAGAUACAUAAUAUCAGUAGUAUUCCAUCAGAUAUGGAGCCAAGUAAAAUUAGUCAUAUCAGUUAAGUAAGAUAAUCUUUGACAAGAUGCAGCUCAGUCUAAGUUCAGCUAAGAGUCAGUUUAGAAUCUUUCAGUUGGGAGUAGGACACAGCACCGAGUGAGCUCGAGGAUGGAAACUCACCUACUAGUAGAGGGUGUGAAUCUUAGUAGCAAUCCUUGUGCUCCAGAACCAUGUCGCUAGCGUAGGUUGAGACAUCAUACAUGAUAGUUGAGGGUAGAUGAGGUGGCUUGACCUGUUAGAUGAGGGCUCCACCGUUCUCGCUUGAUUACCUGAUAGAAGAGGGUAAUGUAAAUUUAUCUUUACCAGUGGAGCGGUACUGACAUCCUUCCAAUUGGGGUUAUAGAUUGGACCCCAGAUUUAGCAAUAUUCGCUUGUUUGGUGCAUGCCGUUUAGAUGACUACUUCCCACAGUCUCAGUUUUAGAAUCAGUAUAAGACUUCAAGAAAGAGCCCAAUUCAGUCUAUAGAAUUCAAGGCUGUUAGAUACAGGACAUCAAGUAUAAUUAAUACAAAUUUAAAGAUCCACUACUAGAUAGGCCGAUCUCAGAUUUAGUUAAUCAAAUAUUAUUAUCCAUGAAUUCAGAGACUACCUGCUAGAUAGGGUUGAUCUCAGAUUAAAAUAAAUCAUUCUUAAUACUAGUAGAUCUGGAGACAACCUGUUAGAUAGAGUUGGUGUCAGUUUCAGUAGCUUUAGAUACUCAGAAUCACAGUAUAUUCAGAAAGUUUAGUUUGACAGUAUAUUCGGUAUCAGUUAUCAGAGUUAGUCCUAGUAUGCUCAGUGAUAGUAUGCGCAGUAUGUUUAGUAGUUACAUAUUUUCUAUGUAUGCUAAUCCAACUCUUGCAUAUCAUUCAAUUAAGUUAUGUUCAUGCAUAAGCCCUUGCAUUUAGCCUUACCUCAUUUGCAUACUCAGUACAUUUAAAGUACUGACGCAUUUUGCUUUAUGGUGCUAUCAUUUAUAUCAUAGGUUUCGAAGCCCGAGAUCUAGAGCGUUAGUAGCCUUUCAGGUGCCCGCAUCUAGAUUCAGCAGUGAAUCCUCAUCACUCGAGGAUGAUUUGAUUGUCUUAUUAUUUUAGUUCAGUUUUAAGUAGCUAGAGUUGGUUGGAGACAUGUUUCAUCAACUCCGCAGUUCAGACAGUUAGAGGUUUUUCAGACGGUUGUAUAAGUAUUUAGUUUGCAAUUUUUUUUUUUGUAUUUUUGAUAUUUUGAACCUUAUGGAAAGUCUUCGCUUGUCUUUCGCAUGUAUUUUAUUAUAUUAUGCAGUGAACAGGUACAGAUAUCAGAAGAGGGUUAGCUUGUGAUCCUUUGGGAUUACAAGCACCAUGUGACUUUCCAGUUCCAGAAAAUCGGGGCGUUACAUGGCUAUAAUAUACCUUAUUAAUAAACUUCCUUCUUCUGUGUUACCUAACAACAAAUCACCUCAUGAAAUGCUAUAUGGUACUAAACCAUCUGUUGCACACCUUAGAAUACUAGUUGUCUGUGCUUUGCAAAGUUAGUAUCUGAAAAUGACAAGCUAAAGCCUAGAGCAAUAACUGCUAUACACAUGGGGUACUCCCCUACUCAAAAGGGUUAUAUUUUGUAUGAUUUUACUAAUAAAGUGUUUUUUGUGAACAAAGAUGUUGAGUUCAAGGAGUCAGUUUUUCCAUUUCAACCUUGGAGCAAAAACAACAAGCUCUAUUUAUUGAUACAUUAACAAAUCAGAUGUUUAUUCACUAAGAUAGUAAUAGACAAUUGAGAUCAGUUCAGAGUCCGAUAGUCGUGUCUAAUGAUUCACUAGUUACUACAAAUCCUAUACCUGAACCUAUAUCUUCAGCUCAAGCUCAACCUUCAUCAAUUGGUCAACAAAGAAGAUCUUUUAGGACCAAAACUGCCCCUAUUUGGUUAAAAGACUUUGUCACAUUGCAAAAGACUAAUUCCUCAACUCCAUAUGGGAUUGCCAACUUUAUCAGUUAUAGUCAUCUUUCAUCUACUUAUCAAGCCUUCCUUGCUGCUAGUUCUCAUGAAGUUGAACUAUCCUCUUAUCAAGAGGCAGUGUUAGAUCCAAGAUGGAUUAAUGUCAUGAAGGCAGAGAUUACAGCCUUAGAAGAGAACAACACAUGGGACAUAGUGUCAUUACCUAAAGGAAAGAGACCAAUUGGAUGUAAGUGGGUGUUUAAGAUUAAGUAUAAGGAUACGGGUGAGGUUGAGAGGUUUAAGGGAAGGUUGGUGGCAAAGGGCUAUAGUCAACAAGAAGGCAUUGACUAUCAGGAAACAUUUUCUCCUGUAGUCAAAAUGGUUAUGAUCUGAUCUGUUCUAGCUAUUGCAUUAAUUAAACAUUGGCACAUCUAUCAAAUGGAUGUGUAUAAUGCUUUUUUGCAAAGAGAUCUACAUGAUGAGAUAUAUAUGGAGUUACCACAAGGCUUUAAGAGAGCCAGAGGGAGACUAGACCAAUGUGCAGGCUUCUUAAAUCCUUGAAUGGAUUAAAGCAAGCUCCGAGACAAUGGAACACAAAGUUGUUGGAAGCAAUUUUGCAUCUUGGAUUUAUUCAAAGUCAUCAUGAUCAUUCUUUGUUCUUGAAGAAAACUGGAAAUGAUUUGGUAUUAAUAUUAGUAUAUGUUGAUGACAUGCUUGUCACAGGUAGUGAUUUGCAACUUAUUAAGGAAACAAAGGCAUCAUUACAACAAGUGUUCAACAUAAAAGACCUGGGGGGGCUAAGAUAUUUUUUAGGCAUUGAAUUUGCCAGAAGGCAAGGAUAUUGAUGCAUCAAAGGAAGUACACCUUAGAGUUGAUUUCUGAACUUGGAUUAGGUGUUGCAAAGCCAAUAGCUACACCAAUGGAGACAAAUGCUAGACUGACUACAAUAGAAGUUGAUAAACUGGUGAAUGAAUCAAGAAGUGAUGAAACCGAUCCUUCAGUUGAUGCAACAGGUUAUCAGAAGAUUAUUGAAAAACUACUUUACCUAACUAUAACUAGGCCAGAUAUAGCCUAUAGUGUACAAACACUUGGCCAAUUUCUACAUCAACCAAAACAAUCACACCUUGAGGCAGGACAUGGUGUACUUCUAUCAAGCACAAGUCAAGGACAACUAUCAGCCUACUGUGAUGUUGAUUGGGCAGCAUGUCCAAAUACUAGAAAAUCUCUAACCGGCUACCUUGUUAAGCUAGGAGAUUCAUUGAUUUCUUGGAAAUCCAAGAAACAAAACAUAGUUUCCAGAAGUUCAGCAGAAUAUAGAAGCCUAGCUUCUACAACUGCUGAACUGUCUUGGAUACUAAGAUUGUUCAAGGAAAUUGGGAUUCAAGUCAAUCGACCAGUACAAAUUCAUAUUGACAGUAAGGCAGCAAUGAAAAUAGCUGGAAAUCUAAUUUUCCAUUAAAGGACAAAAUAUAUUGAAAUAAAUUGUCAUUUUGUAAGGGAAAAGAUUCAGAAAGGGAUGAUCACGACAGAAUAUAUCUCCACAAUAUAUCAAUAGGCAGAUAUUCUAACAAAGGCACUGAACAAAAUACAACACGAGUACUUAAGCUCCAAGCUAAGGAUGCUGAAUGUUCAAGGAAAUUGGGAUUCAAGUUAAUCGAUCAAUACAAAUUCAUAUAUACCAUAACGAACGUUGCUAGGUGUUGGUGCUAUGAGACAACAGUUGCAGUUGGGAUAGAACCUGAAAAACAAUUACCUAAUAUCAAUACUAUAAAGAGGCUGACAUGGAUCAAAGGGCAAUACCAUGGAAAGGUGUGGAUUAUGAGGAUGAUUCUGAGGAGGAAGAUUAGAAACAAGACAAUACAUUCAUAUAUAGUCUCAAGUUGCAUCAAGUACCAAGCUUAUAUUUGGAUUAAAGUUUACUGGUUUGUCUGCUUUUUGAGUUAUCUCUUGAAUGUUGACUGAAUGUUAACUGGUUUGCAUGCUUUUAUGAAAUGUGGGAAUUCAAUCAAGUGCACCAUAAGCCAUCACACACACAAAGCUUUACUAAAAUUUCCAGUAUCUCCUAGUGAAAACAGAGAUGAAUUCCUAUUCCACCUUCAGUGGUUCUGUAAGCUUUAGUCCCGCUUCAGUAUAAAUGGUAUUGAUGGUACUAUGUGAUGUUCUGAUUUUCCAUUGCGCAUGAAAGUAUCUUGUAUUAGAGUUAUCACAUUCAAUCCAUUUAGCCCUUGAUUUUUGCCUCAACACUUGCUCCUCAACACUACUCCACUUCUCGAUCUCCCAGAUAAUUUUUCUUUCCUCUGCAUAUAGCUCAGCAUUCAAAACUUGUCCCUGCAUCUGUAUUUGUAUAAUAUCAAGUCUUUCUCUUGCCAAGCAUAAUUUUUGAGUGUACGAGGCAAAAUAACUAUUGAUGUCCUUCAGCUGUUCUUUGAGUUGUUUAAGCUUGUUCCAUACAUUAGCACCAGCCUCUGUGUAUGUGUAUCCCUCUGCAAUAUCCCAGCAAAUUCAGGGUGCUCCAUGAUGUGAACAAAAAACCUGAAAGGCCUGGGACGAAUUGUUCUGCAGUGACAACACUUGAUACUAAUAGGGCUAUGGUUAGAUAUAGAUGGAUUUGCAUAUUCAGCCUCUACAUGCCCCCACUGUUGUAGCCAGUUGUAAUCUCCAAAUGCCUAGUCAAUCUUGCUAUAGACUCUUCUAUCAUCAGCUUGUUUACUACACCAAGUGAAAUGCCACCCCUUACUUCUAAUAAUUGUGAGUUGCAUCAUAUCUAUUAACCCUUGAAAACCGUGAACUCCACUUUGGGUCACAACAGACCCUAUUCUAUCUUCAGAGCUGAGCACACUAUUGAAAUAUCCACACAAAAUACAGGGUUUGUUCAAUGAUAAAUUCACUUGAGUUAAUUCAGUCCAUAGAAUUUCUUUAUAGCUUGUCUCGUUUCUAGCAUAAACUACUGUAACAUAUAUAGCAAUUCUGUUACCAGGAUCCUCCACUAAACGAUGUAUGAAUUGUUCCUUCACAUCUACAAUAGUAAAGUAUGUGCUCAUUAAGCAAUGCUAUAUGGAUAGUUAAUUUAAGGUCACGUGUAAUUUUGAUUAUUCUAACACUUUGAGCCAUUAGUCAAGAGUGACACGAGUGUGCACUUUUGGUCACGACAAGAGCAUAAGUAUUAAAGGAAAACAUAUACUUGUUAUUUUCAAAAGUUCGAUAUCAUAUUUAAACUUUUUACGUUUCUUAUUUAAACAAGACUCAAAUCAAUUUGUUUCCUUGAAUAGAGGAUGAUGAAUAGUGAUAAUUGAUCAAUGGCUUUAAGUGAUGAAUAGACCCUUAAAAUUAUUCGCAUAUUCUAUUUAGACAAUUCAAUUAGAACUUGCACUUAUUAGAUAUUUUAUUUUAUAAAAUAUGUACCUAUUAAACAUCUCGAGCUAAUGUGGCAUAGCGGGUGAAAUACACUAGUU